UGUCAGGUCCGGUGCAACUUUAACCCUCGAACCAUGUCAGGUCAGGAAUGAAGCAGCAUUAAGGGGUGUUUAGAGUGUGCAACCGGUCGCCUGGCACUU
RNAcentral lists this signal recognition particle RNA (99 nucleotides) under bacterium. Its description in RNAcentral is "signal recognition particle sRNA small type". It matches the Rfam family "Bacterial small signal recognition particle RNA". From Rfam's summary of the family: The signal recognition particle (SRP) is a universally conserved ribonucleoprotein involved in the co-translational targeting of proteins to membranes. Archaeal SRP consists of a 7S RNA and homologues of the eukaryotic SRP19 and SRP54 proteins. The record is from RNAcentral.